UAGAGGUCAAGAUCAGAUGUAGAAGUUAGCUGGAAAAAAACAGAGAAGGACAUAAUAAAUAGAGAGAGGUUUGGAGAAAGGACUUGCGUUUUUCAGAGAGUGAAGGAAGAAAAUGUUCUACACAGCUUAUGUUGCAUGCACCACAGUGCAUGGACUAGAAAAUGACCCCUUAAACCAUGAAUUUUGGGCGAUUUUCAAAAGGGAGAGAUCAGAAACAUGCGAGAGGAGAAGAGGAGAAGAGCUGAUGUGCUAGGGUAAGCCAUUUUGGGUCAUUGAAGGUGCUUCUGAUCAGUAACUUAGCAGGGAAUAGCUCAAGAAGUGUGGAUAGAGGAAAAUACCUCGAGGCUUAAGAUCGUGACCCAUUUGUAAUAAGCCUCCUUGUUUUAGGACUUGAGCUUAAUUAUGGGAUUGAAGGAGGAGGAUAUUGCAAAAAGUGGUGAAGCAAGUGUAGAAGUGAUGAAAUGAUUGAUGACGAAGUAGUGAUAAGGGUAAAGAAAAAGAGUCUGGACCAACAUAAUGGUGUCGUGAUUGUGUAAAAGCUUUGAGUUUGUGUAAUGAGCCGAUUUAGGGUGAAUUUUGUGUAUAUAAGUUGCCAUAGGGAUGCUUGCAAGUUUUGAGUAGUGAUUUUGUGAAAUCUUAACCCAAUUGUAUAUAUAUGUCGUGAAAUGAAUCAAGGGCUAAGAUUUGGGUGUAUAUGUGUUGAAAAUGUUGUGUUUUGUGAAUCUUAGCCCAUGUAUUAAAAUUAUGAUGAAAUAAGUAAUUUGGGGCUAAGAUUAUAUUGUGAAUAUGUUAUGGAUAUGGUUAUAUAUGAAUGUGCUGAGAAAAGGGGCCAAGUAGGUCAAAAUGUGCUGAUUUGUAAAAAGUUUA
Molecule: long non-coding RNA, 867 nt
Organism: Prosopis cineraria
Lineage: Eukaryota; Viridiplantae; Streptophyta; Magnoliopsida; Fabales; Fabaceae
Exons: 5
Source: RefSeq, a predicted model, not a curated record